AUGCACAUUGUUCUUUGCAAGGUUAUGAUGAUGUUUCCAAGGAAAUAUACUGACCCUGAUGUGAUGAAGGGAAGGCCAAAGAGAGAAAACACAAAAACAGUAGCAUGCAACUGCCAAUCCUUGAUGAGACUACACCGUACAGCGGAAAAUGGAUGGUAUAUACACGAUUUCAGACAUGAACACAACCACCAUUUGUCAUCAUUGUGUGGCGAGAAACUACAUUGGCCAUCACACAGGAACAUUGACACACACACCAAAGAUAUAGUGAAAUGA
Molecule: ribosomal RNA, 273 nt
Filed under: Triticum aestivum (bread wheat)
Lineage: Eukaryota; Viridiplantae; Streptophyta; Magnoliopsida; Poales; Poaceae
Description: partial small subunit ribosomal RNA
Source: RNAcentral